Molecule: long non-coding RNA, 676 nt
Organism: Haliotis rubra (blacklip abalone)
Lineage: Eukaryota; Metazoa; Mollusca; Gastropoda; Lepetellida; Haliotidae
Exons: 3
Source: RefSeq, a predicted model, not a curated record
ACGUGCAAAAAUUCGUUGAGAUCAGAGCGAGGGAACGUAAAUCCUGAGUCUCGCUAAUCCCUCAGCGGCGGCCAUGUUUGAGAAGCGAAGCGGCGGGGAGAUAGCUGGCUGGUCUGGGCGAGGGAAGCGACCAUACCCCGGGCUGGUGGGACGCUAGGGAGGGGCAGGGAGAGGGGUCAGGACGUGAGGGGGUCGGAAUGUGAAGAUGAAGAUCGAAUAAUACCCAAAGUCGAUCGUAGCAGACCCCUGAUCAUGUACUGAGACGACAGGCCGGCGACGGGAGUUCCCAGCUAAGCCUCCUCCACUCGACGCAAUGACAGGAAGUUGACAGAAUAAACCAAUCACUGGCUGGACAAGAAGGCACGUGACUUCUCUCAGUCUCAAGAGAGCCUGUGAAGGGUAUGUAUGCCGCCUGAAACAAAAACAAUCCGAAUAUUAUAACCUGUAGAGAAGCGUUUUACAAUGAAACUAUACGUCCAUAUGACGUGCAUAGGUAUUUAAAGAGCGACAAAAUCGGCACUGUGUCCCAUUGUUGAAAAUUUUAUUACUCCUGGACAUGAGCAUGGUCAAAUGUUUGUCAAGACACAAGUAAUAAAUCCGCAAUAAAUAUCUAUGUCGGAUUGAUAUAUGUACUUCCAUACGAAUCAUGAAAUGUGCAAUAAAAUCUAUAGAUUUC